CUGGGUCUUGCCUUUCUGAUAUCCCAGCCCUGAAUAGUACCCUUUGCUUCCUUAGGACUGCCUGGACCCCCUCCCAACCUGGGGAAAGGCUACAGCCCCUCCAAUGGACCAGGAACAGCCUUUGGAGGAGAUGUUAAACCUCAAAAGCCAGGCUUUCCAGCUCCAAAUGGCUAUGGACCAGGCUUUGGAGGGGUAGUGAUGCCCCAGAAAUCAGGUGAGAACCCUCUCCAUGCUGUUCCUCUCUGCCUGAUGUCCCC
Cricetulus griseus (Chinese hamster) is the source of this 257-nucleotide non-coding RNA. Lineage: Eukaryota; Metazoa; Chordata; Mammalia; Rodentia; Cricetidae. The record is from RefSeq and is a predicted model, not a curated record.